GAUAUUAUGAAUAAUAUCACAGUAGGUGUUCACACAUAAUGUGUAUACCAUGUGUGUACACCCAAUGUGAUAUCUGAAGUCAUAUGUC
Gorilla gorilla gorilla (western lowland gorilla) is the source of this 88-nucleotide microRNA precursor. Lineage: Eukaryota; Metazoa; Chordata; Mammalia; Primates; Hominidae. The record is from Ensembl.